This 210-nucleotide ribosomal RNA is filed under the name uncultured bacterium. RNAcentral's name for it is "partial 16S ribosomal RNA". It matches the Rfam family "Bacterial small subunit ribosomal RNA", at positions 524 to 732 of the family's 1533-position model. The record is from RNAcentral.
UACGUAGGGUGCGAGCGUUAAUCGGAAUUACUGGGCGUAAAGGGCGCGUAGGCGGCCGAUCAAGUCAGAUGUGAAAGCCCACGGCUUAACCGUGUGAAGUGCAUCUGAAACUGGUCGGCUUGAGUAUCGGAGAGGAAAGUGGAAUUCCCGGUGUAGAGGUGAAAUUCGUAGAUAUUUGGAGGAAUACCAGUGGCGAAGGCGGCCCCCUCG